UGCAGUCGAACGGUAACACCAGAGUAGCUUGCUACUUUGCUGACGAGUGGCUGGACGGGUGAGUAAUGUCUGUGGAUCUGCCUGAUGGAGGGGGAUAACUACUGGAGACGGUAGCUAAUACCGCAUAAUGUCGCAAGACCAAAGCGGGGGACUUUCGGGCCUCGCACCAUCAGAUGAACCCAGAUGGGAUUAGCUAGUAGGUAGGGUAAUGGCUUACCUAGGCGACGAUCCCUAGCUGGUCUGAGAGGAUGACCAGCCACACUGGAACUGAGACACGGUCCAGACUCCUACGGGAGGCAGCAGUGGGGAAUAUUGCACAAUGGGCGCAAGCCUGAUGCAGCCAUGCCGCGUGUAUGAAGAAGGCCUUCGGGUUGUAAAGUACUUUCAGUCAGGAGGAAGGGUGUGAAAUUAAUACUUUCAUGCAUUGACGUUACUGACAGAAGAAGCACCGGCUAACUCCGUGCCAGCAGCCGCGGUAAUACGGAGGGUGCAAGCGUUAAUCGGAAUUACUGGGCGUAAAGCGCACGCAGGCGGUUUGUUAAGUCAGAUGUGAAAU
Molecule: ribosomal RNA, 556 nt
Filed under: uncultured Enterobacteriaceae bacterium
Lineage: Bacteria; Pseudomonadati; Pseudomonadota; Gammaproteobacteria; Enterobacterales; Enterobacteriaceae
Description: bacterial SSU rRNA
Rfam family: Bacterial small subunit ribosomal RNA
Source: RNAcentral